Long non-coding RNA from Melanotaenia boesemani (Boeseman's rainbowfish), 232 nucleotides. RefSeq lists it as uncharacterized. The transcript is spliced from 3 exons. The record is from RefSeq and is a predicted model, not a curated record. NCBI's taxonomy places the organism in Eukaryota, Metazoa, Chordata, Actinopteri, Atheriniformes, Melanotaeniidae.
CUUUUCUCCUCACGCUAGCGAGCAACUCCAGGAUGCUGGGAGUCCGGUGGCGGCUGGGCAUUUGGGAGGAGGGGGCUUGGAGCACAGCGACCAACUGUAUGACUGGCAGGAGUCUCCAGUGUGUUGGGAAGGAGGGGCCUUUGACCAAAGUUACCCAUCAGUCGAUAGCUGGUUGGGGUUUUUGGAGGAAUAUCCAGAACUUCUGAUUUAGCCACGUCUACUGUAUAUUUUA